Non-coding RNA from Epinephelus lanceolatus (giant grouper), 361 nucleotides. Lineage: Eukaryota; Metazoa; Chordata; Actinopteri; Perciformes; Serranidae. The record is from RefSeq and is a predicted model, not a curated record.
AGUUGUGGUGGUGAGGUUUCUCCAACAGAAACUGAAUUUGCCACAGUCCCACUCCGACCAAGACUCUAACAAAAGAUGUUCUAGAAACAUCGGGAACAGUUGGGCCUUGUUCGACCUCAAGAUUGCGACUUGUACUCUCAAGUCCUCCUACUGUCACUCCACACACCAGGCUGUCUUCAUCUGGAGUGUACCCUGCACUGCCUCCAACUAUGGCAUCACUGGUUACUGCACAGCCUCUGCAUCAGCCACAUGACACGUGUCGUGUCACAAACUGAACCUGACAAUCCAGAGGAACCAGCAGUGAGUGAUAUCAGCAUGAGCUUUGGGGAGAUGUCUCUGGAUCCAUUAGACACAAGUUAUG